AGGCGUUGUGAAGCACCCAGAAAACUGCUUAAUGGGGGUGAGGAUGAUCAUCCACUAAUAAUUUACAGACAAUAUAGACAGACUUAGAAGAGAUGUUACUUUAUGGGACAGACUUAAAAAUCCAUUCCUGAUGGGGACUCCAAAAGUACCCAGAGGCCUGCUUCUGCUUCUGUUGUUGUUUCUCUCUCUCUCUCUCUCUCUCUCUCUCUCUCUCUCUCUCUCUCCCUCUCUUUCACUCUUUUAGAAAACCACACACACACACAAAAAAAAAAAUCAAAGCAGGCAAAUAAAAAGAUUAUGGGUAAUUCAGUGUCUGUUCCUAAGAACUCACCAUUUGUGUGUGCAAUAAAUAAUUGGAAUUAUUUUAAAGCAGAGUACUUAAAGAAAAAUGAAAUUGAUUUUUUUUUCCCUAUAACAUGGUGUAGCCCCCAAUAUAAAUCAGAGAAUGAAUGCUUGUUCUGAAAAUGGGAAAGGAAAUGAACAGAGACCUGACUCUGGGUUUCUACCACUGCUGUUUAUUUUAAAGACCAAUUCUUCAAGGUCCAUCUUUCAAACUCACUUGGGACUAAAGGCAGGAGAAUAAAUCUUCCCCUUUGUUUAAAUAUUUUUAUUAGUUGUUGAUGGACCUUUAUUUUAUUUACCUAUUUUUAUGCAGUGCUGACACUUGAACCCAGUACCUCACAUAUGCUAGGCAAGUGCUCUACCACUGAGCCAAACCCAGCCCUAAAUCUUCCUUUUUAAAGGGUCCUAAAGAGGGGCUGGAGUUGUGGCUCAGCGGUAGAGUGCUCACCUAACAUGUGCGAAUCACCUGGGUUCGAUCCUCAGCACCACAUAAAAAUAAGUAUAUAAAUAAAAUAAGGGUAAAAAAAAAUAAAGGGUCCUAAAGAGGGGAAUAAAUAGUGGUGAUGUUGGACAUGGACCUAUCUCAUCGAUGGACAAUGGCCACCUGAAUCAUUGCUUCAGUGUCCAACAUGGUUGAUAGACAAGGCCAUCCCCAACUGUAUUGGCCUCCCGAAUUUUAUAACCUAUUGCUCAC
This 1036-nucleotide long non-coding RNA is filed under the name Marmota monax (woodchuck). The record is from RNAcentral. Lineage: Eukaryota; Metazoa; Chordata; Mammalia; Rodentia; Sciuridae.